UUGUCAUGAAGAACAAGCCAAGGAGACUGUGUCAAAUGUGAUAUUAUAUACCUGGCCUGAAAAGUAUCAGUGAGAGUAUCAUAGCUGAGCUCAGCAUCAUAGCAUGACAACAUGAACCCUACAUGCCCAUUCUGCUCUUACACCAAAAGGUCACUACUACUUUAAUAAUUAAAUCCAGAAAAAAGCUUUGAAUCCAGUAAGUAACUAUAUUUGUGAAUUGAUUUGUUACCUCACGGUUGUAAACUUGAGCAGGGAACCAAAAACGAAGAGUUUCAAGGGAGAGGGAGAGGCUCAUGGAGGAAUCAAGUGGCAGAGAAGACGCAGCAUAUCUCUUCCUCUUAUUAUCAUCAUCAUUUAGGAAAACAGAAGAAACAGAUCGGAUCAAAGAGAUGAUUUUGUCA
This 401-nucleotide long non-coding RNA is filed under the name Brassica napus (rape). Its description in RNAcentral is "long non-coding RNA (BNAP_LNC004901)". The record is from RNAcentral. Lineage: Eukaryota; Viridiplantae; Streptophyta; Magnoliopsida; Brassicales; Brassicaceae.